UUGAACGCUGGCGGCAGGCCUAACACAUGCAAGUCGAGCGGAUGAAGGGAGCUUGCUCCUGGAUUCAGCGGCGGACGGGUGAGUAAUGCCUAGGAAUCUGCCUGGUAGUGGGGGAUAACGUCCGGAAACGGGCGCUAAUACCGCAUACGUCCUGAGGGAGAAAGUGGGGGAUCUUCGGACCUCACGCUAUCAGAUGAGCCUAGGUCGGAUUAGCUAGUUGGUGGGGUAAAGGCCUACCAAGGCGACGAUCCGUAACUGGUCUGAGAGGAUGAUCGGUCACACUGGAACUGAGACACGGUCCAGACUCCUACGGGAGGCAGCAGUGGGGAAUAUUGGACAAUGGGCGAAGGCCUGAUCCAGCCAUGCCGCGUGUGUGAAGAAGGUCUUCGGAUUGUAAAGCACUUUAAGUUGGGAGGAAGGGCAGUAAGUUAAUACCUUGCUGUUUUGACGUUACCAACAGAAUAAGCACCGGCUAACUUCGUG
This 483-nucleotide ribosomal RNA is filed under the name uncultured bacterium. Its description in RNAcentral is "partial 16S ribosomal RNA". It matches the Rfam family "Bacterial small subunit ribosomal RNA", at positions 30 to 507 of the family's 1533-position model. The record is from RNAcentral.